CCCUUAGAUGUUCUGGGCCGCACGCGCGCUACACUGAUGCAUUCAACGAGUCUAAAACCUGCUCUGAUAGGGGUGGGUAAUCUUUUGAAUGUGCAUCGUGAUUGGGAUAGAUGGUUGCAAUUUUUCAUCUUCAACGAGGAAUGCCUAGUAAACGCAAGUCAUCAGCUUGCAUUGAUUACGUCCCUGCCCUUUGUACACACCGCCCGUCGCUCCUACCGAUUGAAUGAUCCGAUGAAUAUCAUGGAUUGAGGAUGCAAGUAGGUUAGCCUAUCUUCAUCUUCGAGAAGUGAAGUAAAUCUUAUCAUUUAGAGGAAGGAGAAGUCGUAACA
Molecule: ribosomal RNA, 329 nt
Filed under: uncultured eukaryote
Lineage: Eukaryota
Description: partial 18S ribosomal RNA
Rfam family: Eukaryotic small subunit ribosomal RNA
Source: RNAcentral